GACGAACGCUAGCGGCGUGCCUAAUACAUGCAAGUAGAACGCACAGUUUAUACCGUAGCUUGCUACACCAUAGACUGUGAGUUGCGAACGGGUGAGUAACGCGUAGGUAACCUGCCUGGUAGCGGGGGAUAACUAUUGGAAACGAUAGCUAAUACCGCAUAAUAUUGAUUAUUGCAUGAUAAUUGAUUGAAAGAUGCUAUUGCAUCACUACCAGAUGGACCUGCGUUGUAUUAGCUAGUAGGUGAGGUAACGGCUCACCUAGGCGACGAUACAUAGCCGACCUGAGAGGGUGAUCGGCCACACUGGGACUGAGACACGGCCCAGACUCCUACGGGAGGCAGCAGUAGGGAAUCUUCGGCAAUGGACGAAAGUCUGACCGAGCAACGCCGCGUGAGGGAAGAAGGGUUUCGGAUCGUAAAGCUCUGUUGUAAGAGAAGAACGGGUGUGAGAGUGGAAAGUUCACACUGUGACGGUAUCUUACCAGAAAGGGACGGCUAACUACGUG
This 505-nucleotide ribosomal RNA is filed under the name uncultured bacterium. Its description in RNAcentral is "partial 16S ribosomal RNA". It matches the Rfam family "Bacterial small subunit ribosomal RNA", at positions 28 to 507 of the family's 1533-position model. The record is from RNAcentral.